GCCGCGGGACAGAAGCCGGUGGCCUCCAUAGACAAAGGAUCCCAGGCUGCUGGAGCCUCUUCAGCUGGCCUGUGGACUUUGUUCUCUUGUCAGAUGACUGUGCAGCUGAGCGUAUCAGGCAUUCCAUGUGCUUCCAAAUGCUUUGGUCCGGUGGAUGAGGGAAUGAGUGCUCUUCUUGUGUCGUGGUUGAAUACCACUGCUCAGGGCAUCAUUGUUCACCUAGGGGACGUUGAUUCAGAAUUCCUGGGGUGCAUUUCUGCCAUGAGUUCCACACGCACCCCUCCUGUUUCUAUCCCUGUGGGACCCAGAUUUGCUCACCUUGUGCCUUUUGAGUCUUGUGUUCGCAGAGCUGAGAACCAGCUGCGGGGAGAUGGUGGCUUCAGGUUCCCUGGACCUCCCUGGGUCACUGGACUGCUGUUCUGACAGCCAGGGAUCAUCCUGAACGGGUCUUCACCCUGUCCAUCCUUGGGCUCUUAUUUGAAGGAAGAGUGCUGUAGUAUGUCUCUCAUCCUUACCCCUGUGAAAUGGAUAAAGUUCUAUUGUAACUGCCCACAACCAAGACAAUGAAUUUGCAACUUCAGUUCACUGAUCAUACUAAGAGUCAGCAAGAGCUAAUUUAAGGUCAACAUACAAUCUAACUGAAAAACUAUGAUAUCCAAAGCCUAUGGUGCACAGUAACCAAGGGCAGGUAAAAUACUCACCCUAAUUCCUCAUAAAGAAGACUGUUUGUAGUUGUUAGCUUGGCUGAAGCUUAAUGGGUCAUCAGGACCAUGGCAUCUGAGUGGCUGAACAAUGAAAAUGCCUUACCAGUAUGGGUCUGAAAAGGAGUAUGAGUGGGCAAAAAGCUGAUAUGCCUUUCUAUGUGCAAAAACAGAUCUUAGAGGAACAUUCAGUCAUGCAACUCUUCCGCCUUUUCAACCAAAAUUUUCCGCUAAUAUUUUCUGUUGCUGUGGCAAUUUCAUUUAGCAUAAAAAAUCAUGGAAUCAUAGAACAACUUGAGUUGAAAGGAAUUUGAAAGAUCACCUGAUUUCAAAUCUCCUGCCAUGAACACAGAUACCACUCUUUAGACCAGGUUGCUCAAAGCCUCAUCCAAUCUGGCCUUGAGGACUUCCAGGGAUGGGGAAUUCACAGUUUCCUAUUCCAGCUCCUCACUAACCUAUGGGUAAAGAAACUUUUAAUUCAAUCUGAUCUAUACAUCUCCUGAAUCAGUUUAAAAGUGUUCCCCCUUAUCCUAUGUAAAAAGUCGUUCUGCCUUUUUUAAAAGUUCCCUUUCAUUAUCCUCUCCAUGCUGAACAUCCCCAACCCUCACAGCCUAUCUUAAUAGACGAAGUGCACCAGCCUCUAAUCAUC
Non-coding RNA from Cyanistes caeruleus (blue tit), 1350 nucleotides. The record is from RefSeq and is a predicted model, not a curated record. NCBI's taxonomy places the organism in Eukaryota, Metazoa, Chordata, Aves, Passeriformes, Paridae.